RNAcentral lists this non-coding RNA (618 nucleotides) under Pan troglodytes (chimpanzee). Lineage: Eukaryota; Metazoa; Chordata; Mammalia; Primates; Hominidae. The record is from RNAcentral.
CGAAGGGACCCUGGGCGUCUGAGGCCCUGAUCCGGGCGGGCCUUCAGGAUGUUAGCAGUCCCUGUCCGGUUGAAGGUAGGAAGCCGAAAACCCGAGUGGGGGACGAACAGACUUACCUCCUGUCCCGCAAAAGAUCCACUAGAUCGUCGUCUCCAAAACCUGAGAGACCGCGAACGGAUUCCAGAGCCGCAGCGUUCUCUCAGACCUGGCGUUCAGAAAGAUUCUAGAGAGCACGGGCAGGUCCCGGAGGUCUCAGACCCGCAGGCCUGCGGGGCGGGGGCGGGGGCGGGGGCGGGGUGGCGCCCAGGACGACUCCCCAGGCUCAGCUUGGCUGCCUGCCUCCUUCUCAAACAAUGAGUACCUACUGUGUGCAGAAGCAGCAGGACAGCCUGUCAUCACUGGGAAAGAGGCCAGAAGAGCCAUUUGGCCAGGGUCUCCAAUUUAGGCUUUCAACAUUAUCUCUAAAGAAGGUUAUACAUUAUGUCGGCUCCACUGGCUGAUGGGAUCAAAGACCCUCCUUGUAUAUCCUUAAACCUGUACUCUAUUACCAGGCCACUGUGCCUGUGGAGCACUGUAAGUUCCUACCUUUUAAUAAAUUUUAUAAUUAUCUUGUGAGCA